This 254-nucleotide ribosomal RNA is filed under the name uncultured bacterium. Its description in RNAcentral is "partial 16S ribosomal RNA". It matches the Rfam family "Bacterial small subunit ribosomal RNA", at positions 524 to 776 of the family's 1533-position model. The record is from RNAcentral.
UACGUAGGGGGCAAGCGUUGUCCGGAUUUAUUGGGCGUAAAGAGCUCGUAGGCGGUUCGAUAAGUCGGGUGUGAAACCUCCAGGCUCAACCUGGAGACGCCACCCGAUACUGUCGUGACUAGAGUCCAGUAGGGGAGCGUGGAAUUCCUGGUGUAGCGGUGAAAUGCGCAGAUAUCAGGAGGAACACCAGCGGCGAAGGCGGCGCUCUGGGCUGGAACUGACGCUGAGGAGCGAAAGCGUGGGGAGCGAACAGG